RNAcentral lists this small RNA (552 nucleotides) under Pan troglodytes (chimpanzee). RNAcentral's name for it is "retained intron". Lineage: Eukaryota; Metazoa; Chordata; Mammalia; Primates; Hominidae. The record is from RNAcentral.
UGCCAGAUUGUUUGAAGCAGGGGAAGGGAGGUGGAGUGUAUUUCCUUGCCCAGGCCUGGCACAGGCAGCCAGGAGGACCAGCCUCACUUAAGGAUAAAGGCCUAUGCUGAGAAGAGCUCCUGUGAGUGACGCUGGCACUGGCUUCCCGCCUCACUCUACUUCCCCAGACCAGGUGUUCGGCUGCCAAUUGGAAUCACUCUGCCAGCGGGAAGGAGACACGGUGCCCAGCUUUGUGCGGCUCUGCAUUGCUGCUGUGGAUAAAAGAGGUCUAGAUGUGGAUGGCAUUUAUCGGGUGAGCGGGAACUUGGCAGUGGUCCAGAAGCUUCGCUUUCUGGUGGACAGAGAGCGUGCGGUCACCUCCGAUGGGAGGUAUGUGUUCCCAGAACAGCCAGGACAAGGUACUUACAUGGAAGACCCUUCAGAUCCCUAAAACUUCCACAUAUCCUCUUUGCUUCCUGUGGAAACCCCCAUGUACUAUUCCUGGGAGGGUUGUCCUCAUCCCCACCUUAGCUACCUUGCCCCACUGCAGACCCUCUAGGCAUUCCUAUAGUC